Molecule: ribosomal RNA, 500 nt
Filed under: uncultured bacterium
Lineage: Bacteria
Description: partial 16S ribosomal RNA
Rfam family: Bacterial small subunit ribosomal RNA
Source: RNAcentral
AUUGAACGCUGGCGGAAUGCUUUACACAUGCAAGUCGAACGGCAGCACGGACUUCGGUCUGGUGGCGAGUGGCGAACGGGUGAGUAACGUAUCAGAACGUGCCCAGUCGUGGGGGAUAACGUAGUGAAAAUUACGCUAAUACCGCAUACGAGCUAUGGAUGAAAGCGGGGGAUCGCAAGACCUCGCGCGAUUGGAGCGGCCGAUAUCAGAUUAGGUAGUUGGUGGGGUAAAGGCCCACCAAGCCAACGAUCUGUAGCUGGUCUGAGAGGACGACCAGCCACACUGGAACUGAGACACGGUCCAGACUCCUACGGGAGGCAGCAGUGGGGAAUUUUGGACAAUGGGCGAAAGCCUGAUCCAGCCAUUCCGCGUGCAGGAUGAAGGCCCUCGGGUUGUAAACUGCUUUUGUACAGAACGAAAAGGUUUCUACUAAUACUAGGAGCUCAUGACGGUACUGUAAGAAUAAGCACCGGCUAACUACGUGCCAGCAGCCGCCGCAG